This 253-nucleotide ribosomal RNA is filed under the name uncultured bacterium. RNAcentral's name for it is "partial 16S ribosomal RNA". It matches the Rfam family "Bacterial small subunit ribosomal RNA", at positions 524 to 776 of the family's 1533-position model. The record is from RNAcentral.
UACAGAGGUCUCAAGCGUUGUUCGGAUUCAUUGGGCGUAAAGGGUGCGUAGGCGGCGCGGUAAGUCGGGUGUGAAAUUUCGGAGCUCAACUCCGAAACUGCAUUCGAUACUGCCGUGCUUGAGGACUGGAGAGGAGACUGGAAUUUACGGUGUAGCAGUGAAAUGCGUAGAGAUCGUAAGGAAGACCAGUGGCGAAGGCGGGUCUCUGGACAGUUCCUGACACUGAGGCACGAAGGCCAGGGGAGCAAGCGGG